AGGUAUAGGAUAUGGUUUUUGAAUUGUGAAAUUUAGAAUUCUAAUAAAUAUAUAAAUAAAUAUUUUCUCUUUGGCUCUUUCUGGUGCAUCGACUCUUUUCAAGAAUGUUUUGGUUGGUUUUCUCAAACUUUCUUUCCUCUUCCCACUUGUUUCUGAUAGAAUUUGAUAAAGUAUAAUUAGAAAAUAUAAAUUUUUUUUUUUAUUUAAAUAAUCAUUUAUUAUAUACUCCUUCUGUUUUUAAAAGAUGAAUAUUCUAAACUUUUCACAUAUAUUAAGAAAACUCAUUAAAUAUGCAUUGUUUUUUGUGAAUAACAAUUUUUCAUAACUUUUAGCCAAUAGAAAUUCAAUAAACACCAUUAAUUUUUUUGAAACUUAUAAUUUUUCAUAAAAUUAUACAUUGAAAAUGUAAAAAAUGUAUCUUUUUGAAACAAUUUUUUUUUCAGAACAUACAUCUUUUAGGAACGAA
This 466-nucleotide long non-coding RNA is filed under the name Brassica napus (rape). RNAcentral's name for it is "long non-coding RNA (BNAP_LNC015575)". The record is from RNAcentral. Lineage: Eukaryota; Viridiplantae; Streptophyta; Magnoliopsida; Brassicales; Brassicaceae.